CGUGUAGGCUGUUGGGUAAGUCUGGUGUGAAAUGCUACGGCUCAACCGUGGCACUGUGCUGGAAACUGCCUGACUGGAGUGCAGGAGGGGUCACUGGAAUCCCCGGUGUAACGGUGAAAUGUGUAGAUAUCGGGGGGAACACCUGUGGCGAAGGCGGGUGACUGGCCUGCAACUGACGCUGAGACGCGAAAGCGUGGGGAGCAAACA
This 207-nucleotide ribosomal RNA is filed under the name uncultured bacterium. Its description in RNAcentral is "partial 16S ribosomal RNA". It matches the Rfam family "Bacterial small subunit ribosomal RNA", at positions 568 to 774 of the family's 1533-position model. The record is from RNAcentral.